Molecule: unclassified non-coding RNA, 1908 nt
Filed under: Daphnia pulicaria
Lineage: Eukaryota; Metazoa; Arthropoda; Branchiopoda; Diplostraca; Daphniidae
Description: protein maelstrom homolog, transcript variant X2
Source: RNAcentral
AUCCCAGAGCAGAAUACCUGGUAGGUCAGGCGGGAAACCUGGGAGAGCAGUACAUCUACUUUUCGCGGCUGAACUCUUGACGACUCGACUUUUCGACUAUUCGACUAAUCCCUACAUUACCUACUCGUUUUUUUACAAGUGAAAUGCCCCCGAAGAAGAAACAAAAAAAAGACAAUGGUUUCAUGGUAUUCAUGAAAUCUAUGAAACCACAAUUAGAAGCCAAAGGACAUAAGUUUCCUAGAGGCUUGACUGACGUUAUUCCGGUGUGCUCUCCGUUAUGGAAUAAAUUGUCACCUGAAGAAAAGGCAAGCUACCAUCAAAAAGCUAAAGAUGGUGGUGGUACUACUUUUAUCAAAGAAGAGAGAUGUGAUACUCGGGGAGUUCCAUUAAAUUGGAAGGAAAGGGAAGAGCAAAAGAAAAUAUUGGAAAAAGAUCAUCUUCUGCAGAAAGUAGAAGAUAUGAUUUCAUACUUUGCUACUCAAGGAACUCUCGAGAAUCACUACUUUUAUCUGGCACAUUUCAACAUUGCUGUCGCUACCAGUGAGGGAGAGUACCCUCCAUGUGAAAUCGCUAUAGUGAAGUUUUCGCUUCUGGAUGGGAUAGCUAAGUGUUACCAUGACUUUGUAGAACCUGGUCAAAUCCGACUGGGGUAUGCCCACGAAGCCAAGCUACACUCUGAAAACACACACAAUAUCCCAACAUUUGGAUUCAAACUAGCCAAUUCAGAUUAUGUUAACAUUACGAAUAACAUCAAGGAAAUGCUCAAACAACCAGAUGGCGGGAUUGCUCCUUUAUUCGUGGUCGACGAAGACAACGCGAAAGCGAUUUAUAUAGUGGACUGGUUAGUCAAAAAGAGUUGCCAACUGGACGAUUCGUACGAGACGUGCAGUCCGUUCAAGAUCUACAGUUUGAACAAACUUUUUUACGAGUUGCGUCGCCAGGCCGACGUGAACAAUUCGACGUUGAGAUUUUCCAGCAUUGCGCUAGUGGCCGAACACUUUGGCAAAGGAAUGUUUUUCUACAGCAAAAAUAUGGCCUGCCAGUGGCAUGUGGAAGAAGACAAUGUAACGUUUUGUUCGCUAACGCGGGUGCGCAACUACGCCUACACGAUUUCCGACUUGUGCUGCGAGUACUAUGACUUGUCUCUGCUGCCUAAUCGCCACUGCCCUUCUGAAAUUGCUGAUGACAACAAAUAUGUCGUAAUACCCAAAGUGACUGAAAUGGAAGAACCUAAGGCACCGGUUGAAGUGAAGAAGAAGAAGGAGGAGGAGGAAGAUGACAGAGAACCAUCCGGGCCACCACGGUUGCCCAAUACUCCUGCCACUGCCAAUUUCAAGGGUCCUGGAACAGGGCGUGGCGUUUUGGGCGGAUCGAUGGGCCCUGUUUCGUCCGCCACUCAAUCGCCAGGUCGAUCGCGAGCAAUUGAAACGGCACCCCCAGCUGGACGAGGUCGCGGCCGCGGACUUCUUUUACUUGAUGAUGACUCGGAUUGAUUCUCCCUUUCCCUUUACCAAGUUUACAUGGUAAAUCUUAUUCGCACGCGUUGCGGCGACGCGUAAUUAGACGGCGUCGUGGAAACAACGUCAUCUGGCGUUUGAAUGCUUUUACAUCAACAAGGCGACGACCGGGAAACUUUUGCCGCAAAAGCAGCCAGCGUCGUCAAUAUUUUUAAAAAAGACUCAAAAACUCCCUCCUAAAACGCCCAGAGCAAGAGAGAGAGAGACGCAAACUGUUGCGGAUCGAUUCUUUUCAUCCUUCUUAUCCGGCCCUUCACUAGUCAUUUAACAUCUGAAUAGCAGAGCUAAAACGUUCCAUCUAGAUUCCAGCCAACCUCCUCCUUUCUCCAAAUUUUGUUUGCCCUUCAAGAUAAAUGUGGUAAAUAUAGCGGAAAGUAUUUUUUAACUCGAA